UUAUCCGGAUUUAUUGGGUUUAAAGGGUGCGUAGGCGGUUUGAUAAGUUAGAGGUGAAAUUUCGGGGCUCAACCCUGAACUGCCUCUAAUACUGUUGAGCUAGAGAGUAGUUGCGGUAGGCGGAAUGUAUGGUGUAGCGGUGAAAUGCUUAGAGAUCAUACAGAACACCGAUUGCGAAGGCAGCUUACCAAACUAUAUCUGACGUUGAGGCACGAAAGCGUGGGGAGCAAACAGGAUUAGAUACCCUGGUAGUCCACGCAGUAAACGAUGAUAACUCGUUGUCGGCGAUACACAGUCGGUGACUAAGCGAAAGCGAUAAGUUAUCCACCUGGGGAGUACGUUCGCAAGAAUGAAACUCAA
This 360-nucleotide ribosomal RNA is filed under the name uncultured bacterium. RNAcentral's name for it is "bacterial SSU rRNA". It matches the Rfam family "Bacterial small subunit ribosomal RNA", at positions 541 to 904 of the family's 1533-position model. The record is from RNAcentral.